UACGAAGGGUGCAAGCGUUACUCGGAAUUACUGGGCGUAAAGCGUGCGUAGGUGGCUUUUUAAGUCAGGGGUGAAAUCCUGGAGCUCAACUCCAGAACUGCCUUUGAUACUGGGAAGCUUGAGUCCGGAAGAGGUGAGUGGAACUCCGAGUGUAGAGGUGAAAUUCGUAGAUAUUCGGAAGAACACCAGUGGCGAAGGCGGCUCACUGGUCCGGUACUGACGCUGAGGUGCGAAAGCGUGGGGAGCAAACAGG
This 253-nucleotide ribosomal RNA is filed under the name uncultured bacterium. RNAcentral's name for it is "partial 16S ribosomal RNA". It matches the Rfam family "Bacterial small subunit ribosomal RNA", at positions 524 to 776 of the family's 1533-position model. The record is from RNAcentral.